AGCGAACGCUGGCGGCAGGCUUAACACAUGCAAGUCGAGCGGGCAUCCUUGUGGUGUCAGCGGCAGACGGGUGUGUAACGCGUGGGAACGUGCCCUUCGGUUCGGAAUAACUCAGGGAAACUUGAGCUAAUACCGGAUACGUGCGAGAGCAGAAAGGUUUAUCUGCCGAAGGAUCGGCCCGCGUCUGAUUAGCUAGUUGGUGAGGUUAUGGCUCACCAAGGCGACGAUCAGUAGCUGGUCUGAGAGGAUGAUCAGCCACACUGGGACUGAGACACGGCCCAGACUCCUACGGGAGGCAGCAGUGGGGAAUAUUGGACAAUGGGGGCAACCCUGAUCCAGCCAUGCCGCGUGAGUGAUGACGGCCUUAGGGUUGUAAAGCUCUUUUCUCCGGGACGAUAAUGACGGUACCGGAGGAAUAAGCCCCGGCUAACUUCGUG
Molecule: ribosomal RNA, 437 nt
Filed under: uncultured bacterium
Lineage: Bacteria
Description: partial 16S ribosomal RNA
Rfam family: Bacterial small subunit ribosomal RNA
Source: RNAcentral